AGCAGCCGCGGUAAUUCCAGCUCCAAUAGCGUAUAUUAAAGUUGUUGCAGUUAAAAAGCUCGUAGUUGAAUUUCGGGAUUGACACAUCGGUCGUGCCUUAAGGGGCGUGAACUGGUGUAGUCAAUUUCUCACCUUCUGGAGAACCGCGAUGUCCUUAAUUGGGUGCCGCGAGGAACCAGGACCUUUACUUUGAAAAAAUUAGAGUGUUUAAAGCAGGCAUUUUUGCUUGAAUACAUUAGCAUGGAAUAAUAAAAUAGGACGGCAUGAUUCUAUUUUGUUGGUUUCUAGGAUCACCGUAAUGAUUAAUAGGGAUAGUUGGGGGCAUUAGUAUUCAAUUGUCAGAGGUGAAAUUCUUGGAUUUAUUGAAGACUAACUACUGCGAAAGCAUUUGCCAAGGAUGUUUUCAUUAAUCAAGAACGAAAGUUAGGGGAUCGAAGACGAUCAGAUACCGUCGUAGUCUUAACCAUAAACUAUGCCGACUAGGAAUCAGACGAUGUUAAUUUUUAAUGACUCGUUUGGC
RNAcentral lists this ribosomal RNA (520 nucleotides) under uncultured Entrophospora. Its description in RNAcentral is "SSU rRNA". It matches the Rfam family "Eukaryotic small subunit ribosomal RNA", at positions 569 to 1084 of the family's 1831-position model. Lineage: Eukaryota; Fungi; Glomeromycota; Glomeromycetes; Entrophosporales; Entrophosporaceae. The record is from RNAcentral.